AAUCAACGCUGGCGGCGUGCCUCAGACAUGCAAGUCGAACGAUUAAAGCCCUCUUCGGAGGGUGCAUAAAGUGGCGCACGGGUGAGUAACACGUAAGUAAUCUACCUUCGAGUGGGGAAUAACGUUCGGAAACGAACGCUAAUACCGCAUAAUGCAGCGGCAUCUAUGAUGACAGUUGUUAAAGAUUUAUCGCUUGAAGAGGAGCUUGCGGCCAAUUAGCUAGUUGUUAAGGUAACGGCUUACCAAGGCGACGAUCUGUAUCCGGUCUAAGAGGACGGUCGGACACACUGACACUGAAUAACGGGUCCGACUCCUACGGGAGGCAGCAGUCGGGAAUUUUGGGCAAUGGGCGAAAGCCUGACCCAGCAACGCCGCGUGAAGGAUGAAGUUUUUCGGAAUGUAAACUUCGUAAGAAUAGGAAGAAUAAAUGACGGUACUAUUUGUAAGGUCCGGCUAACUACGUGCCAGCCGCCGCGGUAA
RNAcentral lists this ribosomal RNA (480 nucleotides) under uncultured bacterium. RNAcentral describes it as "partial 16S ribosomal RNA". It matches the Rfam family "Bacterial small subunit ribosomal RNA", at positions 32 to 523 of the family's 1533-position model. The record is from RNAcentral.